RNAcentral lists this transfer RNA (62 nucleotides) under Hyalella kochi. RNAcentral's name for it is "tRNA-Glu". The record is from RNAcentral. RNAcentral also lists the same sequence under 5 other names. Lineage: Eukaryota; Metazoa; Arthropoda; Malacostraca; Amphipoda; Hyalellidae.
GUUUUUAUAGUGUAAAAAACAUAUAAUUUUUUCAGAAUUAAGAUAAUAAAGAUUUAAAAACA